Molecule: long non-coding RNA, 2411 nt
Organism: Oncorhynchus keta (chum salmon)
Lineage: Eukaryota; Metazoa; Chordata; Actinopteri; Salmoniformes; Salmonidae
Exons: 4
Source: RefSeq, a predicted model, not a curated record
GUCUUUGCUAGGUAAAGCUCCACCUUAUCUCAGCUCACUGGUCACCAUAGCAACACCCACCCAUAGCAUUCGCUCCAGCAGGUAUAUCUCACUGGUCACCAUAGCAACACCCACCCGUAGCACGCGCUCCAGCAGGUAUAUCUCACUGGUCACCAUAGCAACACCCACCCGUAGCACGCGCUCCAGCAGGUAUAUCUCACUGGUCACCAUAGCAACACCCACCCGUAGCACGCGCUCCAGCAGGUAUAUCUCACUGGUCACCAUAGCAACACCCACCCGUAGCACGCGCUCCAGCAUGUAUAAAUUGCCUUUAAAUUGUUUAACUCGGGUCAAACGUUUCAGGUAGCCUUCCACAAGCUUCCCACAAUAAUGUGGGGAAUUUUGGCCCAUUCCUCCUGACAGAGCUGGUGUAAUUGAGUCAGGUUUGUAGGCCUCCUGACAGAGCUGGUGUAAUUGAGUCAGGUUUGUAGGCCUCCUGACAGAGCUGGUGUAAUUGAGUCAGGUUUGUAGGCCUCCUGACAGAGCUGGUGUAAUUGAGUCAGGUUUGUAGGCCUCCUGACAGAGCUGGUGUAAUUGAGUCAGGUUUGUAGGCCUCCUGACAGAGCUGGUGUAACUGAGUCAGGUUUGUAGGCCUCCUGACAGAGCUGGUGUAACUGAGUCAGGUUUGUAGGGCUCCUGACAGAGCUGGUGUAAUUGAGUCAGGUUUGUAGGCCUCCUGACAGAGCUGGUGUAACUGAGUCAGGUUUGUAGGGCUCCUGACAGAGCUGGUGUAAUUGAGUCAGGUUUGUAGGCCUCCUGACAGAGCUGGUGUAAUUGAGUCAGGUUUGUAGGCCUCCUUGCUCGCACAUGAUUUUCAGUUAUGCCCACACAUGUUCUAUAUGAUUGAGGUCAGGGCUUUGUGAUGGCCGCUCCAAUACCUUGACUUUGUUGUACUUAAGCCAUUUUUCCACAACUUUGGAAGUAUGCUUGGGGUCAUUGUCCAUUUGGAAGACCCAUUUGUGACCAAGCUUUAACUUCCUGACUGAUGUCUUGAGAUGUUGCCAUCAAUAUAUCCACCUAAUUUUCCUCCUCAUGUUGUCAUCUAUUUUGUGAAGUGCACCAGUCCCUCCUGCAGCAAAGCACCCCCAAAACAUGAGGCUGCCACCCCUGUGCUUCACGGUUGGGAUGGUGUUCUUCGGCUUGCAAGCCUCCCCCUUUUUCCUCCAAACAUAACGAUGGUCAUUAUGGCCAAACAGUUCUAUUUUUGUCUUUGUCCCCAUGUGCAGUUGCAAGCCGCAGUCUGGCUUUUUAAAGGUGGUUUUUGGAGAAGUGGAUUCUUCCUUGCUUAGCGGCUUUUCAGGUUAUGUCGAUAGGACUCGUUUUACUGUGGAUAUAGAUACUUUUGUACCUGUUUCCUCCAGCAUCUUCACAAGGUCCUUUGCUGUUGUUCUGGGAUUGAUUUGCACUCUCUCACCGAAGUACAUUCAUCUCUAGGAGACAGAUCGCGUCUCCUUCCUGAGCAGUAUGACGGCUGCAUGGUCCCAUGGUGUUUAUACUUGCGUAUUAUUGUUUGUACAGAUGAACGUGGUACCUUCAGGUGUUUGGAAAUUGCUCCCAAGGAUGAGCCAGACUUGUGGAGGUCUACAAUUAUUUUUCUGAGUUCUCGGCUGAUUUAUUUUGAUUUUCCCAUGAUGGGGCACUGAGUUCCCAAAGAGGCACUGAGUUUCAAGGUAGACCUUGAAAUACAUCCACAGGUACACCUCCAAUUGACUCAAAUUAUGUCAAUUAGCCUAUCAGAAGCUUCUAAAGCCAUGACAUAAUUUUCUGGAAUUUUCCAAGCUGUUUAAAGGCACAGUCAACUUAGUGUAUGUAAACUUCUGACCCACUGGAAUUGUGAUACAGUUAAUUAUAAGUGAAAUAAUCUGUCUGUAAACAAUUGUUGGAGAAAUUACUUGUGUCAUGAACAAAGUAGAUGUCCUAACCGACUUGCCAAAACUAUAGUUUGUUGACAAGAAAUGUUUGGAGUGGUUGAAGAACGAGUUUUAAUGACGCCAACCAAAGUGCAUGUAAACUUCCGACUUCAACUGUAGCUUCUUCCCCAUAUUCCUUUGUUUUUCUGCUCUUUAACACACCAGUAUUUCUACUCGCACAUCCUCAUCUGCACAUGUAUCACUCCAGUGUAAAUGGCUAAAUUGUAAUUACUUCGUCGCUAUUGGCCUAUUUACUUCAUUUGUACACACUGCAUACAGAUGUUCUAUUUUAUUAUUGACUGUAUGUUUGUUUUACUCCAUGUGUAACUCUGUGUUGUUGUUUGUGUCACACUGCUUUGCUUUAUCUUGGGCCAGGUUGCAGUUGUAAAUGAGAACUGGUUCUCAACUGGCCUACCUGGUUAAUUAAACUUGAAAUUAAAAAUAAACAUACAGAGAGACUUA